CCUACGGGAGGCAGCAGUGAGGAAUAUUGGUCAAUGGACGAGAGUCUGAACCAGCCAAGUAGCGUGAAGGAUGACUGCCCUAUGGGUUGUAAACUUCUUUUAUAUGGGAAUAAAACAGGGUAUGCAUACCCUCUUGUAUGUACCAUAUGAAUAAGGAUCGGCUAACUCCGUGCCAGCAGCCGCGGUAAUACGGAGGAUCCGAGCGUUAUCCGGAUUUAUUGGGUUUAAAGGGAGCGUAGGUGGAUUGUUAAGUCAGUUGUGAAAGUUUGCGGCUCAACCCCAUCCAGCCGUUGAAACUGGGGAUCGAGAGUGUGCGAGAGGUAUGCGGAAUGCGUGGUGUAGCGGUGAAAUGCAUAGAUAUCACGCAGAACCCCGAUUGCGAAGGCAGCAUACCGGUGCACAACUGACGCUCAGGCACGAAAGCGUGGGUAUCGAACAGGAUUAGAUACCCGGGUAGUC
RNAcentral lists this ribosomal RNA (459 nucleotides) under uncultured bacterium. RNAcentral describes it as "partial 16S ribosomal RNA". It matches the Rfam family "Bacterial small subunit ribosomal RNA", at positions 338 to 795 of the family's 1533-position model. The record is from RNAcentral.